UCCCAACCGACUUGGAGAAGGUGUUCGACAGUGUCCCUCGGGGAGUCCUGUUUGGGGGGGUACGGGGGACCGAACCCCCCUGAUACAGGAGAAAAACAAUUCAAGGUUACCUGGCCUGUGUUAAAAAGAAGCGCCAUUAUUCUCACAUGGAGAAAUCAUGGAAAAGUGGUGAACCUUCUCAGGAGUGGCCGGCCUACAAAGAUUACCCCAAGAGAAUAGCAAUGACUCAUCCAGGAGCCCACAAAGGACAUCAGGAACACUUUUAAAGAACUGAAGGCCUACCUUGCCUCAGAUAAGUCAGUGUUCAUGACUCAACAGUAAGGAAGAGACUGGGCAAAAAUGGCGUCCAGGGCAGAGUUUAAAGGCAAAAACCACUGCUGAACAAAAGAACAUAAAGGCUCACCUAACUUUUGCGAAAACAAAACAUCUGAAUGAUUCCCAAGACUUUUGGGAGAACAUUACAUGGACUGACGAGAUGAAACCUUUUGGAAGGUGUGGGUCUCGUUACAUCUGGCAUAAACGUAGCACAGCAUUUCAGAAAAAGAACAUCCGACCAACAGUCAAACGUGGUGGUGGUCUUGGGCUGCUUCCUUGGCAACUUGCUGUGAUUGAUGGAACCAUGAAUUCUGCUCUUUGACCGAAAAUCCCGAAGGAGAAUGUUCAGCCAUCAGUUUGUGACCUCAAGCUAAAGUGAACUUGGGUUAUGCAAUAGCAGGAUAAUGAUCCAAAACACCACAGCAAGUCAACUUCCGAAUGGCUUAAAAAUAACAAAAUGAAGGUUUUGGUGUGGCCUUGUCAAAGUCCGGACUUGAAUCCGGUUGAAAUGCAGUGGCAUGUCCUUAAAACGGCUGUUCGUGCUAGAAAACCCUCAUUUCUUCCCUGAAUUCAAACAAUUGUGCAAGGAAGAGUUGGCCAAAAUAUCUCCACAGCGAUGCGAAAGACUCAUUGCCAGUUCUAGAAAACGUUUGAUUUCAGUUGCUGCUGCGGAUGAUGGCCCAACCAGUUAUUAGAUUUAGGGGCCUGUUACAUUUUCACACAGGGUCAGGUGACUUUGAAUAUAUAUAUUUUUUCCUGCAUUAAUGAAGUAGCCAUUUCAAAACGGCAUUUUAAGUCCACUUGGGUUAUAUUUGUCUGAUAUUCACAUUUGUUUGAUGAUCUUAAGCAUUGAAGUGGGGAAACUAUGCAGAAAUGUAAGAAUUUGAGAAGGGGGGGGGGGGGGGGGGGGCGCAAUACUUUUUCACGCACUGAAACGUCUCCUCACUGGGUAUUAAUAAAUACAUUUUAAUUAACCAAUUUUAGAAAAAGCCUAAAUGAAUGCAGCAAAUGUCACAAGACUUAAAAAUGUACUGCAAAUGCAUUGGGUUUAAAGAACAGAGUUUUCACUGCUCACGUCCAUAGGGAGAGCCAUUAUCCUACCCUCUGGCAUACUUUGCCCACCCCGUAUUAGACUGAUCCAUAGUCUGAGCAGCAGAAUGUGGAAUAGGAGUUCCACUGAAACAUUUCUACAUCAAUCACUUGCAAUCCCGUUUUGUCAAUUUGUCAAUGUUUCCUGCAGGUUUGGGCUCAGGGAAGACUGCCGUUACGUUUAACUAUGAGGGUGACUAUUCUUACUAUCCCACACGCUGUUGCUUUUUAAUAUGCUGUACAGAAAACUCCUGUUCACAAAAAGGCGGUUAACAGACGACAUUGCACGCUUUUAUUAAUCACCCAAGACAACAACAACGACCGUUGCGGUCCGCUCGACCGCACGAGGGUAUCCUGUAUCCAGCAAAGUCAGGCCUUCAAAAUACAAACUAGCGUGCCCGUCCAGCAGGGGACCCAACCGGGGGGACGCCACCCACUCCCCACUCCCCAGGACGGUCCCCAGCCCAACUGAAGCGCACUGACCAGUCCCAAAGGGAGGGGCACCACCCACCUCCCCCCACACUUGGGAAAUGAUCCAAUCAAUUAUAAAUACAUCUUUGCCAAUGACGUAAGAUGAAAGGCAGAACAAUUAAAAGCUCUUCCACUAGAUGGCAGAAGGUACAAAAAAACAUGUUGCCAUUCAUACAACAAAAGAAAAAGUGUUUUUUCAACUGAUUUAGUACAAUUUUGCAUCGCUGAAUCCAAAAAUGAUAUCGGUCCAGGUCAGGUUUUUAUGCCAAUUUUUUAACAGUUUAUGAAGCAGAACGUAAAUUUAAAAGUAGACAUUGAUUAAAGUAAGUACCUGUAAAUUGUAUCUUAUGUCAUCAUUGUUCAGAAUUCAGGGCAUGAACUUCCAUUUAUUUGGCGAAAAUACCUGUACAUCCAAACAAAAACAUGGCCAUAGUUCAAAAAGUUGACCUGCUUGAGCAAAACCAACAUAAUAUUUGGAUUCAGCACAUUUUAAUUGUCCGAAAUCAGCUCCAAAAAAAUCUUCCAAUCAAUUUGUUGUUGACCAGUGUAAUAAGUCUUGGCUUCCUGCGAGUGUAUCAGCCUAGUGUGGCAUUAUAUAGGCCCACAUUUCACACCGAGUACAAGGCCUGUCACAAUAAUUACUAUGUUGACUUGUCGUUCAAUAAAUAAAAUGGGCACCAA
Long non-coding RNA from Phyllopteryx taeniolatus (common seadragon), 2556 nucleotides. RefSeq lists it as uncharacterized. Lineage: Eukaryota; Metazoa; Chordata; Actinopteri; Syngnathiformes; Syngnathidae. The transcript is spliced from 2 exons. The record is from RefSeq and is a predicted model, not a curated record.